UAGGGAAUCUUCCGCAAUGGACGCAAGUCUGACGGAGCAACGCCGCGUGAGUGAAGAAGGCUUUCGGUUCGUAAAACUCUGUUGUUAGAGAAGAACAGCGCAUAGAGUAACUGUUAUGCGUGUGACGGUAUCUAACCAGAAAGCCACGGCUAACUACGUGCCAGCAGCCGCGGUAAUACGUAGGUGGCAAGCGUUGUCCGGAUUUAUUGGGCGUAAAGCGAGCGCAGGCGGUCAAUUAAAUCUGAUGUGAAAGCCCCCGGCUCAACCGGGGAGGGUCAAUGGAAACUGGGUGACUUGAGGGAAGAAGGGGGGAGUGGAAUUCCAGGUGUGGCGGUGAAAUGCGAAGAUAUGUGGAGGAACACCAGGGGCGAAGGCGACUCUCUGGGCGGUAACUGAAGCGGAGGCAAGAAAGCGUGGGUAGCAAACAGG
RNAcentral lists this ribosomal RNA (429 nucleotides) under Bacteroidota bacterium. RNAcentral describes it as "Bacteroidetes bacterium partial 16S ribosomal RNA". It matches the Rfam family "Bacterial small subunit ribosomal RNA", at positions 355 to 776 of the family's 1533-position model. The record is from RNAcentral. Lineage: Bacteria; Pseudomonadati; Bacteroidota.